Molecule: ribosomal RNA, 1126 nt
Filed under: uncultured organism
Description: bacterial SSU rRNA
Rfam family: Bacterial small subunit ribosomal RNA
Source: RNAcentral
GGGACUGAGACACUGCCGGACACCUACGGGUGGCUGCGCAACGAAUAUCCGCAAUGGGCGCAAGCCUGACGGAGCGACCCGGUGGAGAAAGCCCACUGGGUGUAAACUCCAAUAGUAGUCAAAAGCAAACCCGCCUAAUACGUGGGGGCGUUGAUCAGCCUACGAAAGGGCCGGCUAACUCCGUGCCAGCAGCCGCGGUAAGUCGGAUGGCCCUAGCGUUGUUCGGAAUCACUGGGCUUAAAGAGCGUGUAGGCGGCCCGUCAAGCGUCUUGUGAAAGCCCUCGGCUCAACCGAGGAAUUGCUUGGCGAACUGUCGGGCUUGAGGCAGGUAGAGGCGACUGGAACGUUAGGUGGAGCGGUGAAAUGCGUAGAUAUCUAACGGAACGCCUGUGGCGAAAGCGGGUCGCUGGGCCUGUCCUGACGCUGAGACGCGAAAGCGUAGGGAGCAAACGGGAUUAGAUACCCCGGUAGUCUACGCCGUAAACGAUGCGCACUAGGUACAGGAGUCUCUGACGGCGACUGUGCCGAAGCAAAAGUGUUAAGUGCGCCGCCUGGGGAGUACGGCCGCAAGGCUAAAACUCAAAGGAAUUGACGGGGGCUCACACAAGCGGUGGAGCAUGUGGCUCAAUUCGAAGCAACGCGAAGAACGUUACCCGGGUUCAAGCCUUGGGAUGCGUACGUGGAAACAGGUUUUGGUUGCCCUUCGGGGUGAAACCUUGGCCGGUGCUGCAUGGCUGUCGUCAGCUCGUGCUGUGAAGUGUUGGGUUAAGUCCCGUAACGAGCGAAACCCUUGUCGUUAGUUGCCAGCGGGUUAUGCCGGGGACUCUAACGAGACUGCCGGUGUCAAACCGGAGGAAGGUGGGGAUGACGUCAAGUCCUCAUGGCCCUUAAGCCCGGGGCGGCACACGUGCUACAAUGGGGCGCACAAAGCGACGCAAGACCGUGAGGUGGAGCAAAUCGCAAAAAGCGUCUCUCAGUUCGGAUUGGAGUCUGAAAUUCGACUCCAUGAAGUCGGAAUCGCUAGUAAUCGCGUAUCAGCCAUGACGCGGUGAAUGUGUUCCUGAGCCUUGUACACACCGCCCGUCAAGUCAUGGAAGCUGGGAGCACCCGAAGUCCGCUUGCUAAC